UAUAGGAAGGGGAAAAAUAGAAUUACAACCUCAUAUAGCUCAGAAAGCUUUAGAAUUUCCAGAUAAACUUGAAGAUAUUAAACAAUUACAAAAGUUUUUAGGACUUGUUAAUUAUGCUAGACCUUUUAUUAAGAAUUUAGGAAAAAUUGCAGGACCUUUAUAUGGGAAAACUUCACCAAAAGGUCAAAGAUACUUUAAUAUAGAAGAUGUUAAAUUAGUUCAAAAAAUAAAAGAAAAAUUAAAAGAUUUGCCUAAAUUAUCUAUGCCAUUAGAAACAGGUUACUUAAUUAUUGAGACAGAUGGUAGUAUAACAGGAUGGGGAGCAAUACUUAUUGCAAAACCUAACAAAUACUCAGAUAAAGAUACUGAAAAAAUAGUAAGAUAUAAUAGUGGAAAUUAUAAAGAAAAAGGUAAUAUAAGCAGUAUAGAUUUAGAAUUACUUGCAGUAAAUUAUGCAUUAGAUUCAUUUGAAUUAUUUAUUAUUUCUAAAAAAGAAAUUACUUUAAGAACAGACUGUGAAGCAAUUGUAAGUUUUGUUAAUAAAAUGAAAUUAGAAAAUAAAAGAAGUAAUAGAAGAAGAUGGUUAAAUUUUAUUGAUAGAAUUACUAAUACUGGAAUAGUAAUUAAUUUUGAGCAUAUUAAAGGUAGUGAUAAUCAGAUAGCAGAUAUUUUAAGUAGAAUAAUUAAAAAUAAAGAUUAUGAUUAACCAUUUAUUGCAGAUGCAAAGAGGUCCCAGACCAGGAUUGCCAAUUGUUGGCAGUUCCAGUUCUCAGACAAAUAUACUCCAGACUCAUGAUAAGUUAAGAUUUGGUAAUAUAGAACUUCUUUGUUUUCCUAAUAGCAAUAUUAGUUUUAAGAUACUUUCUCAUAUUUCAGUAACAAAGGCAGAAAAAUGUAUUUUAGAUAAUUUAUGGAUUUCUUAUAAUAAGAACCUAAAAGACCAAAAAUAUUUUUUAGCAUGUUUAAAUGCUCUUUCAGAACAUUUUAGUCAAGAUCAUAAACAAUUCAAAUGUUAUGUUGUUUUAAAUGGAAGACUUCCAGGAAUUUACCAUACCUGGUUAGAAGUUCCAGAUUGUAUUAAGAAUUUUCCAAAUCCUCUUUACAAAGGAUUUUAUUCAAUUUCAGAAGCAUUAGAAGAAUGUAGAAAAUUUAUUGGCCCAAAUUAUUUUAUUGCUCCUUCUUUAAAAAAUGUUUCAGAUCAACCUUUAGAUUUUUCUUCAAGAUUUUGUGAUCAUUGUGAAUGUACG
This 1247-nucleotide long non-coding RNA is filed under the name Olea europaea subsp. europaea. The record is from RNAcentral. Lineage: Eukaryota; Viridiplantae; Streptophyta; Magnoliopsida; Lamiales; Oleaceae.